This 247-nucleotide long non-coding RNA is filed under the name Hordeum vulgare. Its description in RNAcentral is "long non-coding RNA (HVUL_LNC014742)". The record is from RNAcentral. Lineage: Eukaryota; Viridiplantae; Streptophyta; Magnoliopsida; Poales; Poaceae.
CGGAGACGGAGGAGGAGAAAUGGGAGAGGCGGCGACAGCUGCCAUGGAGGGGAGGUGGCGCGGCACUCAGGGGCCGCAUCAGGCGACGACAGCGCGGAGACGAAGGACGAGAAAAUGGAGGCGUCCGGGAGCGAGGACUUCACCGGCGUCAAAGGCAGUGCCGGACGGGACGCGUAGGCACGACGCUCCUCUCCUGGUGCGGUGCAUGAGGGAAGGAGAAGGGGAUCGAGCUAUGCCGGGUUAGUUG